CCUACGGGUGGCAGCAGUGAGGAAUAUUGGUCAAUGGACGAGAGUCUGAACCAGCCAAGUAGCGUGAAGGAUGACUGCCCUAUGGGUUGUAAACUUCUUUUAUAUGGGAAUAAAAUGAUCCACGUGUGGGAUACCGUAGGUACUAUAGGAAUAAGGAUCGGCUAACUCCGUGCCAGCAGCCGCGGUAAUACGGAGGAUCCGAGCGUUAUCCGGAUUUAUUGGGUUUAAAGGGAGCGUAGGUGGGUUGUUAAGUCAGUUGUGAAAGUUUGCGGCUCAACCGUAAGAUUGCAGUUGAAACUGGCAGUCUUGAGUACUGUAGAGGUAGGCGGAAUUCGUGGUGUAGCGGUGAGAUGCUUAGAUAUCACGAAGAACUCCGAUUGCGAAGGCAGUUCACUGGACUGCAACUGACGCUGAGGCUCGAAAGUGUGGGUAUCAAACAGGAUUAGAUACCCCAGUAGUC
Molecule: ribosomal RNA, 460 nt
Filed under: uncultured bacterium
Lineage: Bacteria
Description: partial 16S ribosomal RNA
Rfam family: Bacterial small subunit ribosomal RNA
Source: RNAcentral